Molecule: unclassified non-coding RNA, 719 nt
Filed under: Hevea brasiliensis (rubber tree)
Lineage: Eukaryota; Viridiplantae; Streptophyta; Magnoliopsida; Malpighiales; Euphorbiaceae
Source: RNAcentral
CAUGUCUUGAGGAAUGGGCCAAUUGUGAGUUUCACUUUGUAUGACUGUGUUUUAUAAUUGAUUCUAUGUCCAUACAAUUUAUUUUUGGCGUUCUUUGAAUUAUAGUGCAUGCCAACCUAGACUAUGAAGUAUUGGAGUAUUCAAUAUUGGAAUCACUGCGAAGGAGUUGCCUUAAUGGUUUUUUCUCCCUCAUCUAUUGUGAGGGAGUAAUUCAUUAUCCUAGCUAAGUAGACAUAUGGAACAAAAUUUCUCUCCUUAGGAAAGUUAAGGAUUUAAUAGUGAAAAUUAUGUUAUAACUGGUUGAUUGAUUUUAAAGCAUUAAAGUUCGACUAGUUUAAAAGAAAAUUUGAGAUACUCAUAGAAAGGUGUAAUUUUAAAUCCAUCUGAAAUAAGUUUUGAUUCACAUUUAUGAAUCUAGUCACAUCAAAAUGCCUUAAUUUGAAAUCCUUCAAUCCAAAUGUGACAAACUUAUUUGAAUUCCAUAAGAAGUGCUAUAUCUUGGCAUCUUUUCAUACCUAUGUUCAAUUAGAUAGACAAAACGUAUGUGAUUUCACGGAAUUCUCAUUGGCUAUAUUGCUGGUCUUAGAAAGCUAGUUUGUUAAAAUAUUAAUCUAAUUGCUUGAUGUAUUGAACCGUUUUUCCUCUUAUUGUAGUAUCAAUUGUUUUGUUUAUUUUAAUGUUUGAUGCUUGUGUCAGAUACUUGAAAUGGAUACCUACAG